GAUGAACGCUGGCGGCGUGCUUAACACAUGCAAGUCGAACGAUAAGUUAAGACGGACGCCUUCGGGCGGAGGGCUUUAUUUCGAUUGGCGGACGGUAGACUAACGCUGAGUUAGCCUUCCUCAUACAGGAGGGUAACAGUUAGAAACUACUGUUACUACCGCAUAAGACCACAGCACCGCAUGGUGCGGUGGUAAAAACUCCGGUGGUAUGAUAUGAACCCGCGGUUGAUUAAGUAGUUGGCGGGGUAACGGACGACGAACGCGACGAUCGGGGGCCGAGGGGAGAGGAGGCCCGGUCACAUUGGGACUGAGACCCGGCCCAAACUCCAACGGGAGGCAGCAGAGGGGAAUAUAGCGGAAUGGGGGAAACCCUGAGGCAGCGACGGCGCGUGAGUGAAGAAGUAUUUCGGUAUGUAAAGCACUAUGAGAAGGGCAGAAAAUGACGGUACCUGAGGAAGAAGCCCCGGCUAACUACGUG
RNAcentral lists this ribosomal RNA (478 nucleotides) under uncultured bacterium. RNAcentral describes it as "partial 16S ribosomal RNA". It matches the Rfam family "Bacterial small subunit ribosomal RNA", at positions 28 to 507 of the family's 1533-position model. The record is from RNAcentral.